AGAGUUUGAUCCUGGCUCAGGAUGAACGCUGGCGGCGUGCUUAACACAUGCAAGUCGAACGAAGCAAUCUAACGGAAGUUUUCGGAUGGAAGCUAGAUUGACUGAGUGGCGGACGGGUGAGUAACGCGUGGGUAACCUGCCUCACACUGGGGGACAACAGUUAGAAAUGACUGCUAAUACCGCAUAAGCGCACGGGAUCGCAUGGUCCAGUGUGAAAAACUCCGGUGGUGUGAGAUGGACCCGCGUUUGAUUAGCUAGUUGGUGGGAUAACGGCCUACCAAGGCGACGAUCAAUAGCCGACCUGAGAGGGUGACCGGCCACAUUGGGACUGAGACACGGCCCAAACUCCUACGGGAGGCAGCAGUGGGGAAUAUUGCACAAUGGGGGAAACCCUGAUGCAGCGACGCCGCGUGAGUGAAGAAGUAUUUCGGUAUGUAAAGCUCUAUCAGCAGGGAAGAAAAUGACGGUACCUGACUAAGAAGCCCCGGCUAACUACGUGCCAGCAGCCGCGGU
Molecule: ribosomal RNA, 513 nt
Filed under: uncultured bacterium
Lineage: Bacteria
Description: bacterial SSU rRNA
Rfam family: Bacterial small subunit ribosomal RNA
Source: RNAcentral